This 154-nucleotide unclassified non-coding RNA is filed under the name sea anemone metagenome. Its description in RNAcentral is "partial contains small subunit ribosomal RNA and internal transcribed spacer 1". It matches the Rfam family "Eukaryotic small subunit ribosomal RNA", at positions 1678 to 1825 of the family's 1831-position model. The record is from RNAcentral.
GCUACUACCGAUUGAAUAGUUUAGUGAGGACUCCUGAUUGGCGCCGCCGCCCCGGCAACGGAGCAGCGGACUGCCGAAAAGUUGUUCAAACUUGAUCAUUUAGAGGAAGUAAAAGUCGUAACAAGGUUUCCGUAGGUGAACCUGCAGAAGGACA